GACUACAAGCAACUAUAGUUUUAUCUUUUUGUUAUCUAGUAUUUUUGAAUAUUAAAAAAACUAGGUGACGAGAAGAUAAUAUUCAAAAAUACUAGAUAACAACGAGAUAAAAUUAGGGUUGUUUGUAAUC
This 130-nucleotide microRNA precursor is filed under the name Lotus japonicus. RNAcentral's name for it is "miR11157 stem-loop (lja-MIR11157)". The record is from miRBase by way of RNAcentral. Lineage: Eukaryota; Viridiplantae; Streptophyta; Magnoliopsida; Fabales; Fabaceae.